GCCCGUGAGGUGUCGGCUUAAGUGCCAUAACGAGCGCAACCCCUUGUCAUUAGUUACCAUCAGGUCAAGCUGGGGACUCUAAUGAGACUGCCACCGUAAGGUGAGAGGAAGGGGGGGAUGACGUCAAAUCAGCACGGCCCUUAUGUCCGGGGCGACACACGUGUUACAAUGGGGGGUACAGAGGGCAGCCAUCCGGCGACGGAGCGCCAAUCUCAAAAACCCUUCUCAGUUCGGAUUGGAGUCUGCAACCCGACUCCAUGAAGUUGGAUUCGCUA
This 275-nucleotide ribosomal RNA is filed under the name uncultured bacterium. Its description in RNAcentral is "partial 16S ribosomal RNA". It matches the Rfam family "Bacterial small subunit ribosomal RNA", at positions 1064 to 1337 of the family's 1533-position model. The record is from RNAcentral.